CUUUCCAUUAAACCUAAAAGACAAGGUCACUAUUUUGCUGAUGUUUACCUGUCAAAGAUAAUUCUCAGGUCCUAGAGAAAGACAUUUUAAUUUUAAAGUAAUGCUGUAAUAGAUAUCAGAGGCCUAGAAUCCAGAAAGAAAUCUGUUUCUUCAAGUUGAAGAUUCUGGAGGAUUGAAAUCGUCAGAAUCUUUUGCCAGAUGUUCUAUCAUUAACUCAAGAGCAGAGGACAAAGACUUCUCCUGCUCCUGUUGCCUCAGCUGUCCCUGGGGUCUGCCUCAGCUCUACCUCCCCUCAGCUCUAUCUCUGAAGUAUAGCCACCAAGAAGGACUGUACUGAAUGCAGUGGGUUCAUUUCUUGGGGUUUAUUAUCGGUCAGGACCCAAGCCAAGCAUCAGACUCGAGCCUCCACUGGGGGAAGACAGACAUGUUUUAUACACCUUUGAGGCCAACAGUUUCUAGGCCCCCCUAUGGGAUAGAAGUAAAAGGUAAGCAAAAGGUACAGAAGCAGAACAUCCUGCUGUUCGAACAUUUGUAAAACAAUAGUUGAUUAAUUGUUAUUUCUAAAGAGACUUUCUAAGGGGAGGAGGUUUUUAAGCUUCCUCCUUCUGAGUUCAUCUAAAGGGCAGGCAGGUGGGUCAAGCAGCAAUAUGGAGUCUGUCUUGCUAACUAGGGUCUUUCACUCUCUAUUGACAUGUGCUGAAAAUUAUUUUUCUGUGAUAAGGGUCAGUAAGCUUAUUCUGUGGGUGGAAUGAGUUGAGAUUCCCCAUUUCCUAUUUGGGGAAACUUGUGGAACCCUGUCCAGUGACAGGAUUACAGAUCUGUGUCACCACACCUGACAGGAGUUUGCAAUUAUUAAUGUCAUAAAUGAUGUCUCAGAUUUCUUCUGAGUCAUUCUUUCUAAAGUUAUUGAUAAAAGAAUAAGAGAGUAGUUCAUAAAGCAUCAAUCAUCUAUGAUAAAGUUAAUUAUAUUAUUUCUUUAACAAGUUGCAAUUUAAGGCAUAGCUACUCUCUUUCUAUAUCCAACCAUUCUCUGGCUUUACUUGUAAAAUCACUUUUCACAUUAUAAUCAAACUCAAGGUUUCCUUUUCUCCACAUUGUCACAAGGGCAAUGAGGGGAAGGGUAAAAGGGAGUGCACACAUUGGUCAAAGCAGAAAAUAUGC
RNAcentral lists this long non-coding RNA (1161 nucleotides) under Heterocephalus glaber (naked mole-rat). Its description in RNAcentral is "lncRNA (ENSHGLG00000025590.2)". The record is from RNAcentral. Lineage: Eukaryota; Metazoa; Chordata; Mammalia; Rodentia; Bathyergidae.